RNAcentral lists this ribosomal RNA (454 nucleotides) under uncultured bacterium. RNAcentral describes it as "partial 16S ribosomal RNA". It matches the Rfam family "Bacterial small subunit ribosomal RNA", at positions 28 to 507 of the family's 1533-position model. The record is from RNAcentral.
GAUGAACGCUGACAGAAUGCUUAACACAUGCAAGUCAACUUGAACUUCGGUUUGGGUGGCGGACGGGUGAGUAACGCGUACAGAACUUGCCUCACAGAUAGGGACAACAUUUGGAAACGAAUGCUAAUACCUGAUAUUAUGAUUAUAUGGCAUCGUAUAAUUAUGAAAGCUAUAUGCGCUGUGAGAGAGCUUUGCGUCCCAUUAGCUAGUUGGAGAGGUAACGGCUCACCAAGGCGAUGAUGGGUAGCCGGCCUGAGAGGGUGAUCGGCCACAAGGGGACUGAGACACGGCCCGUACUCCUACGGGAGGCAGCAGUGGGGAAUAUUGGACAAUGGACCAAGAGUCUGAUCCAGCAAUUCUGUGUGCACGAUGAAGUUUUUCGGAAUGUAAAGUGCUUUCAGUUGGGAAGAAAAAAAUGACGGUACCAACAGAAGAAGUGACGGCUAAAUACGUG